Molecule: ribosomal RNA, 372 nt
Filed under: uncultured fungus
Lineage: Eukaryota; Fungi
Description: LSU rRNA
Source: RNAcentral
UUGAAAGGGAAACGAUUGAAGUCAGUCGUACCUGCGGGUAAUCAGCCUUUUGGGCAUGAUUCUGUGGAGUGUGAGGAGUUAAACGCCUUCAUGCCUGCAUAUUCGUGUACUUUGGGUGUACUUGCCUGUGUGGUUAGUUAACAUCAAUUUUGGUUAUCAUAAAAUGGCUGGAGGAAUGUAGCUUCGAUUUCGAUGGAAGUGUUAUAGCCUUCGGCAGAUGUGAUGAUCGGGAUUGAGGAUUGCAACGGAUACCCUUGGGGGCUACCUGUCUGGUCUCUGAUCGUUGCUUGGGUGCGGAAAGCGUGCUUACGGUUAUCAAAGUCGAUGGUCAAUAGGUUAGAAUGGGUUAAAUUCGUUAAGGAUGUGGACGUA